Labrus mixtus (cuckoo wrasse) is the source of this 495-nucleotide long non-coding RNA. RefSeq lists it as uncharacterized. NCBI's taxonomy places the organism in Eukaryota, Metazoa, Chordata, Actinopteri, Labriformes, Labridae. The record is from RefSeq and is a predicted model, not a curated record. The transcript has 3 exons.
GGAACUUCACUUCUCUAAACAUCCUUCACCUCUCUGCUUAAAACUACCUGACAAAAACACUUUCUGCCUCUUCUGAAACACAAAGAUGGCUGCAGCUCUGACUCUCCUCCUCACUGGCUGUCUGCUGCAAGGUGCCCUGUGUGGACAGUUUGAGAUCAUUAUACCAAAUACUAUAGAGGUUCUGAAGGGAUCCUGUGUGACAAUCCCCUGCUCCUUUGACGUAGACGAUCAACAUAAUGUCAACUUAGAUAACACAUGUAAAGCAUUAUGGAAAGAAUCUGAUAGCAGACUUGUUGUGUUUGAUAGCAGUAAUCCACAACAGAGUACAAUCAAAGGACAAUUGAUCGGUGACCUAACAAAAAAAGACUGCACCACAACCCUGGAUGACAUGCAACCUCAAAACACCAAACUGUAUUAUUUUAGAUUGGAAUGUGACAUUCUGAAAUACUAUUUUCAUGACAUGAAAAUUUCAGUCGAAGGUAGGUUUUAAAUUAA